CUUAGCCCCCAGCAACUGCAGCAUAUCCAGAAGGUGAUUUAAUUAGGCUAUUCUCAAAUACAAAAAUAGUAUGUCAGUCAUAAUAAUAUCAUCAAUUUUUUCACUUUUUGAUUUGUUACUGUUUUUUAUGUUGCCUUCUUAUCUUAUUCCUUGUUAUAUAUAAUAAAUUGAAAAAAGUUCUUAAUUUCAUAAAUGGUGGUUAGCAUUUUUCUAUGAUUUUUUUAAACAAAAGGGACAUUGGAGCCAAUUUUAAGGUAAGACUUGAAGGCCGAUUACAUGCAUGUUUUUUACAGUUUCAGGCUUAACUUGCCUUGUAGAGAUUAUCUAAAGGAUUGGUUAGAUACAUUGAUAACAACAUCAUUAGCUAGCAUUUGUAAAUUUAUUUUAUAUAUGAAAUUUAGUAUUAUUUGUUUUAGUGGUUGAGCUUUCGAUUCUUAUUUUAGGGUUUAUUUGUUUAUAUUUGAUGUUUGUUUCAUGGGACCUCCUCUGUGUUGUGGGCUAUUGAGCUUUGUAUGUUGGCUUGGGAGUCUUCUUUGUCACAUAACGAAGAGAUUUUGUGAAUACAUGUGAAGUGGAUUUUUUUUGUUGCAUGGGCUACGACUUUCCAUUGCUCUAUUUUCGGGCUAAACCCUCUCAAGUUAUGCCCGUACUUGUUUGGGGCUGACCCUGUAAACUUUCUGAAGACCCCGUAAUCCUUGGGAAGAAGUUCACUCAUUAUGGGCCUACUAGCCCCCCAGCCACUGCAUGCUUUGUCGGUUUUGCCAUUGUGUUCUGAUUUUCUAUAUAUUUAGCAAAAAAUAAAAAAAAAAAUGUAAUCUGAUCCAAUCAAACAGUCCUCAGCUCCACGUGACUGAGCAACAGCUCGCCCCAUUCUUGUUGCGUCAUUUCUUUAUUUAAUGCUCUUCGAGUAUACUAACACAUGACAUGCUCUAUAAAUAUAAUUUUACGGAGGAAAAUGGCUGGCGAUGAAAUACUGCCGCAAGAAACAGAAGGUAAAAAUUUACCUACGUCCAGCAUUGACAGAAAUCGAAGCCAGGGUGAAGCACAAGAACAAGAACCAGCUGAAUCGAGGGGUAGGAAGCGUGCUGGCCUAAGAACUCGCUUUGAUUUAUGGACUGAAUGGUUUUACGAGGCAGUGCGAGGGGGAGACCUGCAUGGGGUGAAAAUGUAUCUUAAGACUAAGAGAGAGCUGCUUGGCACAAGAUUCACAAAAUUCGAAGAGAAUACUCUUCAAGUCGCAGUGGUUUCUGGACAGGAAAAGAUUUUUAGUGAGUUAAUGGAAGAAGACGGUUCCAAUAAUAUCUUGAAAGAGAAGAACAUGUACGGAGAAACAAUACUCACUCUUGCCGCCGCCCAAGGCAACAUCAAGAUUGUGGAGCGAUUGGUGGGAACAUGCGAUGAACUAGCGGCAUUCCCAAUGACAAUGGAUAUUUACCCAUCACUGUGGCUGCUUUAUUUGGAAACAAGGAAAUUGUUUGCUUUCUGUUUAAUUUUACUUUGCAAAUUUAUUUUUUCAAUCCAAGCUGCCGGCAUGUUGAAGAAGAAGUGAACAUGACUAAUUCAACUCAGUCGAGUGUAGAUGAUGGUGAUUUCAAGUUUCUCAAAGUGUCCAUGACUACUCAAGUCUGUGGACGUGAUGAGCGAAACAGAGCUUCAAGCUUGUUAAUGAUGAUAAGGAUGAAGCUUAUAAGCCUGCUUAUCAAAGCGAGUAUCAUUCUUUUAGGCUCUUCAAAGCAUGCAUCAGCUCCCAACUCUAUGGUCUAGCUUAUAUGGUUUUCGAGUUAUCUCCGACACUCUUGCAUCAAUGAUAUGGUCAAGGAGAAUGGUAAAACAAUACAUCCACUAGCCCGGGUGUUUAUGAAACAACCAAUGGGAAUAGAGUUCGUGGUUUGGUUUAUUGAAUUUUGUGCACUGAUUCUUGUACAUCUUGAAAUUUGUUGUGGAAUCGACAUCGACAUUCUAUUGCCACAGUUUAAAACGACAGUUGAAUCAUGGCUUGAAAAACCGGUGAUAUCUCGAAGGUUGUUGCGUCGGAUAUGCAUGAAGAUAUUGGAAUUAGAAAACCAUUACGAAAUCAUUCAAAAGGUGUUGAGCAGACCAAUCUUAAUUGCCGUGGAACAAGAUAAUUAUCUAAUUCUGACAUGGCCCUUUCCAAAGAUAUCUUCAAAAUCUACAUCUCUGCAUUGAAAAAUCCUGAAACUGGCUUUUUAAAAACCAUUCGGGCUGAUAGAAAUGGAAACACAGUCCUUCAUCAUGCCGCAUUGUUAUCAUCAACCAAGAAGCUUAGCCGCUUUCUUAGUCCAUCUCUACAAAUGCAAAGCGAGAUACAAUGGUUUAAGAAAGUGGAGAAGAUUUUACCCAUGUACAAAGGAGUAGAAAACAAGGAUAACCUAAUUGAAGAGUCAAGCCACCAUUCCUUUGGCUUGGUAGGCUAGUGGGUUGGCCAUUUUUGGCAUUGUUAGGCAGUGGGAGUUACGCAGAGAGUUUGGAAGUAUUAGGCGGGUUAGGCAAUCUGCCUAACCUUGUUGAUAAUGCUUCCCUCCAAACUCCUAUAAAUAGUCAUGAUUCUCCUCUUGUAUUUGUAUCCCAAGAUAGAGGAUCAGUGACGAUCCAGAGAGAGAGUGAGAGAUCCGUUUGAGAGUUUUUAUUUGUUAAAGAAUUCUGGUUGAAAUUUUUCUGUAAAUUUAUUCAGUGAAAUAGAUUGUUUUUCUCUCAUAUCUUUUCUUUCAUUGCGUUUUGAAUCUCUAGUUUCCCAACAAGUGGUA
RNA transcript from Diospyros lotus (date-plum), 2765 nucleotides. RefSeq lists it as uncharacterized. The transcript has 6 exons. The record is from RefSeq and is a predicted model, not a curated record. Lineage: Eukaryota; Viridiplantae; Streptophyta; Magnoliopsida; Ericales; Ebenaceae.